UACGUAGGGUGCAAGCGUUGUCCGGAAUUAUUGGGCGUAAAGAGCUCGUAGGCGGUUUGUCGCGUCUGCUGUGAAAACUCGGGGCUCAACUCCGAGCUUGCAGUGGGUACGGGCAGACUAGAGUGCGGUAGGGGAGACUGGAAUUCCUGGUGUAGCGGUGGAAUGCGCAGAUAUCAGGAGGAACACCGGUGGCGAAGGCGGGUCUCUGGGCCGUAACUGACUCUGAGGAGCGAAAGCAUGGGGAGCGAACAGG
Molecule: ribosomal RNA, 253 nt
Filed under: uncultured bacterium
Lineage: Bacteria
Description: partial 16S ribosomal RNA
Rfam family: Bacterial small subunit ribosomal RNA
Source: RNAcentral